RNAcentral lists this ribosomal RNA (406 nucleotides) under uncultured bacterium. RNAcentral describes it as "partial 16S ribosomal RNA". It matches the Rfam family "Bacterial small subunit ribosomal RNA", at positions 29 to 526 of the family's 1533-position model. The record is from RNAcentral.
AUUGAACGCUGGCGGCAGGCCUAACACAUGCAAGUCGAACGAGUGGCGGACGGGUGAGUAAUGUCGGGGAAACUGCCUGAUGGAGGGGGAUAACUACUGGAAACGGUAGCUAAUACCGCAUACCAUCAGAUGUGCCCAGAUGGGAUUAGCUUGUUGGGGGGGUAACGGCUCACCACGGCGACGAUCCCGAGCUGGUCUGAGAGGAUGACACGCCACACUGGAACUGAGACACGGUCCAGACUCCUACGGGAGGCAGCAGUGGGGAAUAGUGCACAAUGGGCGAAAGCCGGAUGCAGCCAUGCCGCGUGUAUGAAGAAGGCCUUCGGGUGGUAAAGUACUGUCAGCGGGGAGGCGUUACCCGCAGAAGAAGCACCGGCUAACUCCGUGCCAGCAGCCGCGGUAAUUC